GCUCCGCUCCUCCGAACCGUCUGGCGGACUUGGCACCGGCCCCCGCUCCUCAGUGCCCCCGCAGUGCGUGGCAGGCUGCGGCUUCAUUAUCCUGAUUGAUUCCUCCUGCUCCCCGACACCAUGGGGGCCCCGGACAAGGAAGGGAGGCGGAGGCGGCAUCUGCAGGCCCCUUCCCCGGCCCUCGCCCCCAGCCGCUCCUCAAUACAAACCAUGUGGGACCCUCACUGUGGCGUCUCCAGGCAAAAGAUGAAGCCACAGCCGCCUAGUGGCUGCCAGGGAGGCUGGCAGGAAGGGGCAUCUCUACCCGGCGUCUCCUGGGAAACAGCGAGCUCCCCAGAGAAGGGACAUUUGG
RNAcentral lists this long non-coding RNA (352 nucleotides) under Homo sapiens (human). RNAcentral describes it as "HSALNT0240323". The record is from RNAcentral. Lineage: Eukaryota; Metazoa; Chordata; Mammalia; Primates; Hominidae.